GACGAACGCUGGCGGCGUGCUUAACACAUGCAAGUCGUACGGUAAGGCCCUUUCGGGGGUACACGAGUGGCGAACGGGUGAGUAACACGUGAGUAACCUGCCCACAACUUUGGGAUAACGCUAGGAAACUGGUGCUAAUACUGGAUAUGUGCUCCUGCUGCAUGGUGGGGGUUGGAAAGCUCCGGCGGUUGUGGAUGGACUCGCGGCCUAUCAGCUUGUUGGUGGGGUAGUGGCCUACCAAGGCGGCGACGGGAAGCCGGCCUGAGAGGGUGACCGGCCACAUUGGGACUGAGAUACGGCCCAGACUCCUACGGGAGGCAGCAGUGGGGAAUAUUGCACAAUGGGCGCAAGCCUGAUGCAGCAACGCCGCGUGCGGGAUGACGGCCUUCGGGUUGUAAACCGCUUUCAGCAGGGACGAAGCUUUUUGUGACGGUACCUGCAGAAGAAGCACCGGCUAACUACGUG
This 465-nucleotide ribosomal RNA is filed under the name uncultured bacterium. RNAcentral describes it as "partial 16S ribosomal RNA". It matches the Rfam family "Bacterial small subunit ribosomal RNA", at positions 28 to 507 of the family's 1533-position model. The record is from RNAcentral.